GUACUACCCUCCUGAGUACAGGAUCAAGGGCAAGUACCAUGCGAAGUCUGCAAUGUCGUGGUCUCUCGGGGUCACCUUGUUCACGAUGCUGUGCGGCCGUUUUCCAACUGAGGAGGACCUGCAGAAGACCGAACUAAACCUUUGGUCUGAGCCUGCGCUAUCGAAAGACUGCUGCCGUUUGAUCUGCAGCCUCCUGCAGCAGAAACCACAGCGGCGGCUCAGUCUGGGGAAGAUCCUUCAUCACGACUGGUUUAAGAUCUCCAUAUAACCCCAGACGUUUCCAGAGUCUCCUGUCAGCUUUGCGUCUUGCGGGCUGGCAGAGAGGCUUUCCAUCCCUCCGUGAAGCCUUUGCGUCUUGCGGGGCCGGCAGGCCAUGCUUGCGUCUUGCGGCAUGACCUGAAGCAGCAGUACUUGCGUCUGGCGGUACUGCUCGCUUGGGGAUGUGUACAUAUGUAUAUAGUUUUUUCUCAGAGCCUUCAUUGUUAAUAGAUUGCUGCCGUUUGAGCCUCCUCCAUCAAGCGGUGACUCCUUCUGGGGAAUAUCCUUUACCACGACUGGCUUCAGAUCUCCAUAUAAGUCGUGGAGAAUGGAGCUCCAACCCCAGACAUUUCUAGGGUCUCCUGUCAGCUUUGCGUCUUGCACCAUGACCUGAAGCAGCAGUAUUUGGGCCUCAAGGCCAUCUUCUCUCAAAACCUCUCUCUCAAGACAAAUCUUUGAUGUCCCAGAGGUUCCUGCUAUGGUACUCCAGGUGUCCCAGUCUUGCUGCCCUGGUAGUAGAACUUACUGUAGUGGCUACCUGGUUUUAAAGCUUCUUGUCAUGAAGGCAUGCACUCAAAAGCUUGUCUGAGACAACAAGGUCAGAUCUCAGAUAUUCUUCUCACGGCUGUCCCAGAUGUUAUGCUCCAUGUGAUGUACGCCUUCGAUCCCAGAAGUAAUGGCUGCAUCUCACGGCUGUCCAUGUGAUGUUUUCUGAGUACCAGAAGUUCUCCAAAAGACCACUAGUUCCUCAUGGCUGCCAAUACAAGAACUCGCCAAAAUUUCCCAAUGCCAGAGCUUCUUGCUUUGGCAGCCUCAGUACCAGAAUGCCCUUUCAUGUUGCUAUCAAGGGGCGCAAAUAAAAAAAAUCAUUUUAAUACAUUUUAAAAAAAGUGUUGCUUCACUUUUUCUCAGUAAAAUCUCAAAAUCUCAGUAC
Molecule: long non-coding RNA, 1192 nt
Organism: Puntigrus tetrazona (Sumatra barb)
Lineage: Eukaryota; Metazoa; Chordata; Actinopteri; Cypriniformes; Cyprinidae
Exons: 5
Source: RefSeq, a predicted model, not a curated record